This 8929-nucleotide long non-coding RNA is filed under the name Marmota monax (woodchuck). Lineage: Eukaryota; Metazoa; Chordata; Mammalia; Rodentia; Sciuridae. The record is from RNAcentral.
UGAGGACCAGGAAUGACCCCUGUGGGUGUUCAUGAUGGAUUCGAGAAGCAGGUGAGUUCCUUUAUGGCUCUUUCUACUUCCAGCACCCUGGCGCUACAGUCACAUGGCACACUUUGAGGACCAGCCUCCUCUUUGAGGGGAGAGUUGAAUGAAUCAUUUCUUCUCUCAAGCAUCUAUUUUAAUAGCUGUAUUUGUAAAAAAAAAAUAAAAAUAAAAAUGAAAUCCAAGCUCAUCUAAAGCAAGAGGAGUCACACUGACUUUCUAAUUUAGAGAAUCUUUUCUAAAAUCUUCCAUGACAAAAAGCAAUGUCCUUAGGUGUGGGACCAAGGUAAUUAUGUUAGCUUUGUGUCACUGUGACCAAAAUACCUGAGCAGAACAACUUAGACGGGGGAAAGUUUAUUUGGUUCAUGGUUUCAGAAGUCUCCGUCCAUAGAUAACUGAGUCCGUCGCUCUGGUCAAGGUGAGGCAGCGCAUGGACAAAGAGCAUAGCAGAGAAAAGCAGCUCACCUCACAGUGACAAAGAAGCCAAGGCCCGGGGAGUUUGCCCACAGGGAAAAUGCACCCUUCCAGGGCAGCCCCCAGACACCCACCUCAGUUACCGCCCGGCCACACCACCCACCUACAGUUCCCACCCAGUCAGUCUGUUCAAGCUAUGAUGGACUGACGAGGUUACAGCUCUCCUCAUUCACUCAUUUCACCUCCAAACACCCCUGCAACAACAAAGAAGCUUUUGGGGGACACCUUAGAUCCCAACCAUAACAGUAAAAGAUGUGCCCCCUGAGGAUAUCUUCAUAUCUUCAACAGUCAAGAGGGCCAAAGACGCCCCUAACCCGAUGUAAAUGAGCUUAGUAAAGAGCAGAAUUCGUCCACUCAAUGGCCAAGUGAUUGAGAAAGGCAGGAAUAGAACCAACUUCAGAAAUCACUGGAAUCCUCAGCCGUCUCUUUCUCUCAUGGCGCCUCACGUUGGUUUAAUUUCCUUCAGCUUUACUUUUCUACGUCCCACCGCCAGCACUCUGACGAUGAGAAAAGCAGGCUUCUCUCCCUGGGUUCCCAUUCGAAAACAUCCCAGAGGAGGGCUGCAAUUUCCCUGGCUUGGCACAUGUGCUCAUCCUUUCGGCCAGACGGUCAAGUUCUGUUACCAUGAGACAAGGAAAGGCACUGAGCAGACAAAAGCAAUAGACAUCGACCACGAUUCACCCCAUUGCAGCUCCUGCUUUGUACUGCUUCCUGAAAAGGUGCUUCCCGAAGUGUACUUUCUAGCCACAGUGGCCACAAAAUCACCCGAAAUGGCCUCAUCUGUUUCACCCUGACCGACUCAUGGGUCUUUCUCAAGUAGGCGUACGUUUAUACAAUUGAAUCUUUUUUUAGUGAAGUAUUCUAUCUAGAGAUCUGAAUUUUAAUCUAAGUGAAUUGUUUCAGGUUAUUCUAGGAGAGCUAAAAGUCAUUGCUGUCAAUCACCACACUAGUCAAUGUACUUUCUCUGGUUCUUAGAUGUACCCGGGGAGAAUCCUUACCAUAAAAGUCAUUUGUGAUAAUGUGCUGCCCACACUGACUUCCACAAACUUAGACUUCCUCAACCUCAGAAACCACUAACUUCCAAAAAUGGUGACAUGCUGGAACCAUGAGCCAUAACCCCCAUACUCCCGCCCUGCUCCUCUGACUUCCAAGCUAGAUGAAUAGGAGGGAGAAGAAAUCGGUAGAUGGGGAAAAACUUGGGAAUUCUCACUAAUAUUCUCCAAUUUGGAGUGAAGUUGAUGCAAGCAGUGAUUGUGUAGCCCGGGGAAAAUGUGCAAAAAAACAAAAACAAAAACCCUUGCCAACUCCAACUGACCACCCCAGGGACUGGGCAGUCACUGGAAUGGGGAAAGAGGUCUCAGAGCUGUAACAACAGCCUCUAGGACUCAGAGCUGUGCUAGAGGAAGGUCAAAGAAGGGUCUCCCACACUCCCAGGAAAAAGAUACACACCCUCCUACUUGUGGAGGAAGCCUGAAAUGAUCCAACAAACAACAUUGCAGAUUAGCGUUAGACCCAGACCUCAGGCAAGGCUGCCCUCAAACUCACUUUCCCCUCCCCACACUGCAGCGCUAGGUCACGGGAGGGCAAAGACCUGGGAAGCUGUUCUAAGAACACAGCUAUUCAGGGAAGGCCACAGGCCCAGACAAGUUCAGAAAGGAAACAAAUUCUGAAAACAGAAAAAGAGGGGCUUCUCAUGAACACCAAGACCCAGUGUUUCCACAGGUGCAUCUUCCAACCUUUCAAAAACAUGUCUAUUUGAUGCCACUUAAACUAUUUCAGUAAUGAAUAUCUGAAAAGACCAGAAUUGGAAAAGGACACUUAGAACAAUUACAAGUUCAGAGGGUAUCACAGACCAGUGACUAAAACAUAUGACACUGGUCAAUUAAAAGUACAUGAGUGUCAGUGUGCUGGUACAUGCCUGUAAUCCCAGCGGCUCAGGAGGCUGAGGCAGGAGGAUCACAAGUUCAAAGCCAGCCUCAGCAACUUAUCAAGACCCUAAGUAACUCAGUGAGACCCUGUCUGGGGAUGUGGUUCAGUGGUUAAAUGACCCUGGGUUCAAACCCCAACACCAAAACAACAACAACAAAAGUACAUGAGUGUACAUUUGUGAGUGGCAAGUGCUAGUGGCAAUACAAACCAGAGAUAGUUCCAGAGAAAUCACUACUUCUCCACUUGGAUAGUUAGGUUCACUGAAACUAAAUUUUUCAAAAAAAGUUGCAAACCUGGAAGUUUAUAUUUAAUACUCCAACUGUAAAAUGUCAAUAAGACCCUCAAAAUACAACUGAAUGUGGCCCCCAAUCCAAUUGUUUCUGACCCUCUCCACUGAGGAAUUAUACCUUCAAUAUUGACCCAAAAUCUUUUUUUAAGCCUGACAUGAUGGUACACACCUGUAAUCCCAGUGACUCGGAAGACUGAGGCAGGAGGAUCUCAAGUUCAAAGCCAAUCUCCGCAAUGUAGUGAAACUCUUGUCUCAAAAUAAAAAAUAAAAAGGCUAAAAAUGUAGAUCAGUGGUAUAACACUUCCAGGUUAAAUCCUCAGUACUCACUUCCAUCCCUACCCUGCCAAAAAAAACCCUCUUUUUCUAAAAACCAGCAUAUGAAUUUUAGUAGUACAUUUUAAAAAAUAAAAAUAACUAAGUGGGAUUCUUCCUAGAAUAAAAAUUAAUUCAAUAUUAAGAAAUCUAUUAAUAUGACAUAUUAGCAAAUCAAAGGAAAGAAUGCAUAAGAAUAUCCCAAUAGGUACUUUACAAAUUCCAAUAUACAUACUUAAUUUUUAAAACAAACAAAAUUAGCUCUUAACUGAGCAGAAAGUAGUAGAUUUCCUAGACUGCUCAGAACUUUUGAUUUCAAGAAAUAUAACUCAACCAUCUUAAAGGGAAAAAAAAAAGAAUUUAUUGGCUCACAUAUCUGAAAAAUCCAAGUGUAUCUUUGCUUUAGACCUGGCUGGAAAUCAAAAUUUAAACAGGUCAGUACCGACGGGCUUGCCAAGAUUUAUCUCUGCUUCUCUUUCCUGUUGGCCUCAUUCUUCCUGACUGCAGAUGGCCCUUCUCCUUAUAGCUAAGAAAGAUGACUGAGAGAUGUUUGAUUCAUGCUUAAAACCUAAAAGUACUAAAGAAGAAUAAAGAUAACCUCUGCUUUCAGUCUUAGUGGUAAUUUCAAGGUGGAUUCUAAUUGGUGCACACACACAUUCUCUCUCCUGAGUAGAGAGAAUUAAGUACCACUAGCUAGGUGUCAUUAACUACUCUAGGAGUUCAAGGACUAUUAGCAUACAAACCACCUGAAAUGAGUAGUGGGUGGUUUCUUAAAGAAAUAGAUGCCAAAUAAGAGCAACAGUAUGUCCUCUUUAUUUAUUCAUUCAUUGUUUAUUUAUUUUUGUCGUGCUGGGCGCCCAGGGCCUUGUGCUUGUGAAGGCAGGCACUCUACCAACUGAGCUAUAUCCCCAGCCCUCCUUUAAUUUACAUAGUAGGAGAAAAUGUGUGUGUGUUUGUCAAAAAGAGUAAUGACACAAUAUAUGUAAGCAAUGUUUCUUUAACAUUAUUCUGGAAAAACUUCCUAAUAUGCUAGACCAGAGAAAGAAGAAUUAUAAAUGCUGGACAGAUUUUUUUAUAUGCUGAUGACAUGAAUAUAUAACUUGAAAGCAUAAAAUUUCAACUGAAAAAAAAAGUAGUCGAAACAAUAAGAGAAAUAAGACACUUAGAAGUAUACUCAAACAAAGAAGUGUGACAUUUGUACUGAAAACUACAAAACAUCAUUGGAAAAAAAUUUAAAAGACCCAAAUAAAUGAAGACAUCUCAUAUUCAUGGAUUGAUGACAACAUUGUUAAGAUGGCAGGCAGUAAGUACUUCCCAGAUUGAUCUACAGAUUCAAUGAACUAUCAAAAUCUUGAUUGGUUUUGUUUUUUUGGGUUUUGUUUGUUUGUUGUAGAAACUAAUAAGCAGAUCCUAAAAUUCAUAAGAAAAUGCAAGGAACUUGAAAUAGAACAACUUUUAAAAAGAAAAACAAAAUCAGAGGAUUCAUAUGCCCUGAUUUCAAGACUUACUACAAAACAAUAGUAUGAUACUGGUGUAAAGAGACACAUAGAGAUCAAUGGAUAAAAUCAAAAGUCCAUAAAAAAACUCUCACAUUUUGAUAUCAAUUGAUUUUCACCAAGGGUAUCAAGAUAAUUUAAUAGGGAAAGAACAGUCUUUUUUUAAAAAAAAAUGUUUCUGAAACAAUUGAUUAUCUACAUGCAAAAUAAUCAAGUUGUAUCUUACCUUACAAUGUAAUCAAGAAUUAACUCAUCCUGGAUCAAAGACUCAAAUUUAAGAACUGAAACUAUAAAAUUCAUAGAAGAAAACAUAGACAUAAAUCUUCAUGACCUUUGAUUGGAUAAUGGCUUCUUAAACAUGAUACCCAAAGCACAUGCAAUAAAAGAAAAAAAAGGUAAAUUUAACUUUAUCAAAACUUAUAAAUUUUGUGCUACAAGGGACAUUACCAAAAAAGUGAAAAGUCAGUCUACAGAGUGGGAGAGAAUAUUUUUAAAUCAUAUAUCUGACAAAGGACUUUUAUAUAGAGUACAUAAAAAUCUCAAGUUCAAUAAUAAAUUGACAACUCAGUUAAAAACUUGACAGCUGGGAGCAGGGGUGCACACAUGUCAUCCUAGAGACUACAGAGCCUGAAGUAGGAGGAUCACAAGUUCAAGGCCAACCUAAGACAAGCCCCUGCCUCAAAAUGAAAAAGGCUGGAGGUGUAGCUCUGUGAUAGAGCAUGCUCAGGUUCAAUCCCCAGUACCAAAUUUAAUUAAUUAACUGAUUAAUUAAGAAUAAAUAAAUCAAAUAAGGUACACUGAAUUUUAUACUUUUAAAGGGUAAAUUUUGUGGUGAGCUCUAACUAGAAAAAUUAAUUUAUUUUUAAAUAAGACAAUUCUAUAAGGUGUUACACAACUGAUAUGUAAAAAAAAAAAAGUUUUUCUAUUGAAAUGGUAACUCAAAGCAAGGUCCAUUUUUCAUCCUUCAGAUUGGCAGAGUGGCUAGCAAGGGUGACAGAACUUGGUACUCUCCUCAAGACGAAGCAACGUCGAUUCAACAUUUUGGAGUGGUGUUUGGGCAAUAGCUACCAACAUUUCUUGAAUUUGUGGAGCACUCAGGUGUUACAAAGCCAGAAACUUAGCCUACAGUUACUCUGACUGAAGAGCAUCAAGAUACAUGCCCAAGAAUGCUCACUGCAGUCUGCUGGUCAUAGCAGAAAAUAAGGGAGGAGUGAGACAAAACAAAUAGAAACAAAGUAUCUAGCAGCAAGAAACAGAUUAAAUAACUUACACUAAGAAAUACUGGGGCGUGACACUGGCCAAAUCGUAUGGAUAUAUUGUGUGCAUGUACGAAUACAUAACAACAAAUUCCACCACUGUGAACAUAAUGCACCAAUAAAAUAUAUGGAAAAUAAAUAAAUAAACAAAUAACUUAACACUACAUCCUCUUCCUCCCUGAUCCUGAUGCCUCCAGCAUCAUCUCUGGCUGGAAUUUUCCAGUAGCCUCUAAAUGGUGUUCAUGUGUCCUCUCUCAUCUUCCCCACCUUGGCCAAGUUAUUCCUCAUUCUGAAGCCAGAGACAUCUUUCCAACAGAUUGUUUUAGAUACACACACACACAAACACAAAUACUGCUUAAUAUGCCUUCAAAGUCUUUCCAGUGCUCCAAGAAAAAAACAAAACAAAACUUCUUAUAAUUGCCUAUGAGGUACUGCCAGCUGCCACGGUUUGGCCUACCUGUCUCUCUUUUCUCGGGUCCAGAUUCCAGUCUCAAUUUUGCUUCUUCAUACAAUGUUACCUUACCUCAGGACCUUUGCACAUGCUAUAUUAAAUGUUUGUUUCUUAUUCUUCUGUAUGUGCUUUUUGUAUGUGAGAGAACAUAUAAAGUCCUUUCUUUCUUUCUUUGUUUCUUUGUUUCUUUUUUUUACUUUUUACUUUACUAUAAUUAAAAAUAUACAGGAUGCCAUAAGCUACCUAAAAGCAACAACAAUCCCAUUAUUCCUAUUGCUUGCUUGCUUGGCCUUUCCCCAAUGCAGUUACAUUCUGACAUGAUCUUAAAUUGUUUAUUGUCCAGACAGCUAACCCUACUGCCCUUAUUUACUGACAUUCAAUACUUAGGGCUCCAGCCUAACAAGGGCUUUUCUUCUUUUCAUUUUCAAAAGAAAAGAAACCCAGCUAGCAGAUGCCUCUUUUGCAGGCCUUCUGGCCACCCCCACAUAUGUUAUCAGCUGGAGGGAAAGACAAACUCAGCAUUGUAGUCCAAGUCCCUCCAUUUGAGCAAUGCAGAGAAUCUGCAGUCAGACUCCAAAACAUGCAGCUUAUCAGCUUAUUGGUCUACAAAGCAAAUUUUUUUUUGUAAAUUAUAUUAUGGUUUAUUCUUAAUAGUCUACCACCAAAAAAGGCAUGAAGUAGGUACCAAAUGUAGCCUAAAUCCUGUGUAUUGCUUAUUUCUCUGAAGGAUUGUCCUUGAAUGGCAAUAAUUUGGACAGCCUUUUCAAUAUUAUAUAUUAAAAAAAAUUAACUGGUCACCAAAUUCUAGCACCAUGUUGAAAUGGAAAAAUAGUGACCUAGAACGCCAUUCUCUAGGGAAUGUAUACACAGAGAAAGAUAUUGGGGUGGGUUUUUUAAAACCAUGCCUUCCCCCAAAGUCAGUAACUUUUAUUUUAAAGUUGUCUUAGUCCAUUCAUGCUGCUGUAAUAAAAUGCCGUAAACUAGUGACUUAUCAACAUAAAUUUCUUCCUCACAGUUCUGAAGGCUGGAAAAUUCAAGAUCAAGGUGCCAGAAAAUUCAGUGGAGGGGUGUUUGUAGGACUUGGGUUAUUUGCAGGUUUUUUGUGAACCCUGGGCUAUGAGUUCAAAACCUCACUUGCACAGUGUGUUGCUUAUUGCUCUGAAGGAUUGUCCUUGGAUGGCUCAUUUAGGAAAUGCUGGAUUUAAGAGUUCACCAGGGCAGAUAUCUGGCAAGGUGCAACUUGAGAGACACAUUCUGGAAGGUUUUUGCAACAUAUACUUGAUUUGGAAAAAUAAAUAAAGAACCCUGCCAAACAGUUCUCCAAGUGACCUUGCACCAACCCAGGUCUCUCCCCUUUCUCACUGACAGUUGUCAAGAGUAAUUUUGAGGAUGUGCUGAGAAGGCAACACCAGGAGAUACAGAAUUGCCAUCCAGAGCAGCCUGAGCUCGGCUCCAAUCUCCCUCCAGAAACAGGAUGCCCUCUCUUACUUCAGCCCAGCAACUCACAUCGACCCAGUGUAUGAAACCCAGGAUGGGUUCCUUCCUCAAGUCCCACAGCUGUGGUGCAAGUGGAGCAGGUAGGGGCAGGCUGCAACAAAUCCUAGGUUUCUAUGUCCCUUUUACGUAUCUCUAACGAAUAAACCCAUUUUACACAGCCUGUUGUCUACAAGUGUGUUCUGCCUCUCUGCAUUAGGGAGCCAGUGCACCAUGAACUUGCUUCACGCACCCUAGUUGCAACAGCAUCAUGGAAGCCAAGCAUGGAAAGUUCUGGAAAGGCUAGGAUGAGCCUCAGGCCCCAGUGAUCCGGAGAGGCUUCCUGGUAAACAACACGUGAUCUGCAAAAGAAGCCUCUCUCAGGAGAAGGAAGGGAUGACUCCAGACUGCAGGAGAGGGGGAGAAGAUAAGCAAAAGAAUCAGGAAGUCAGUUUCUGCUGCUUCCCAGAAACUUGGCAAUGAGGAGGAGGACUGUGACUUUACCCUAGAAGUGCAGCAAGGUGCCCAAAGCUUCAAGAGAAGGCAGGCCCAUGCACAUGGGGAAGCAUGAGGGGAAGAGGGAGAAGGAAGGCAGAGGACAGGGGAUCACAGGCCCAGGACAAAUACUGGAUCUGAGCCAGGGAAGGGGCUUCAAAGACAGAAGAACACAUUUUCCUCUGCAAAGGUAAAAACUGAGGACUUGGAAACUGAGGUAGAUGAGGCCUAGAAAGGAUCAGACUGGAGGUCAAACACAAGUGGGCUUGCGCUCUGACUUGUCUGUUUCCAGGAUGUGUGGAUCUGGAUAGAUCAUGGCAGACUGCAGUCAUCUUCUUCACGUACACACAGCUUUCCUUUUCUUUAUGGACCUUCCCCACCCCACGCCCUGCCCCUGACAGGCUCUCUCUAAGUUGCCCAGGCUGGCCUGGAAUUUGUCAUCUUCCUGUCUCAGCUUCCCAAGUAGCUGGGAUUAUAUGCAUGCACCACCACAUCCAGCUUCAUAUAUAGGGUUGUUUUUCUGUUGAGGGCCACAGCCGAGUCGGGAUGACGCAUGGCAUUUUUGCCAGAACGGAGUGGUUGAGAGGUGAUGCCAACAAGCCACUGAGAUGAUAAUGGUUAUGUUAAGCUGUGUAUAUUAGACCCCUGCUGUCCGCCUCGGCCUGCUACUUUGGAGUUCUCACGGGGAUUCCCGGAGAGUUCCCAUUGGUUG